This is a non-coding RNA of Pelobates cultripes (western spadefoot toad), 426 nucleotides long. The record is from the annotation of a GenBank genome assembly. NCBI's taxonomy places the organism in Eukaryota, Metazoa, Chordata, Amphibia, Anura, Pelobatidae.
ACACACACUACACACUCACUGCAUUCACUAUACACACUACACAAAUACACCCUGCUCCCCUGUCUAAACACACUGCAUCCACUACACAUGGCAAGUAUAUUUUGUGCAUUUACCUUUAAAAAUAGUUUAUUUUUUCAAAAUGAUAAAUGUACAGAAUAUCGGCAAAUUAUUGGCCGGAAAGUUCACAGAUUACCGGUACCGGUCGAUCCCUAGUUUUUAUAUUGUGUUCAGUAACAUUUUACAAUGAAAAACAAACAUGUCUGUUAAAGAGUGAAAGGCAAUUCACUGAAGAUGAGGCAAAAUUGAAGAGAAGUGUCCAGUGGAGAAGAAAGGCCACCAGCUUUGUCAUCUGUUUACCUAGCUGGCUCGUGUACACAGUCAUUUUGAAUCUGAAUGGGAAGAUGUCCAUUUAACCAAAUUCAAGAG